Non-coding RNA from Hyaloscypha bicolor E, 134 nucleotides. The record is from the annotation of a RefSeq genome assembly. NCBI's taxonomy places the organism in Eukaryota, Fungi, Ascomycota, Leotiomycetes, Helotiales, Hyaloscyphaceae.
GCUUCGAUAGCUCAGUGGUAGAGCGGAAGGUCAGUUCAUUGUCAUCCAAUUUCUAAUGAAGUCAAACUAACGAAGAACAGAUUGCAGUAACAGCAAUAAUCUUCAGGCCGCGUGUUCGACCCACGCUCGGAGCU